This is a long non-coding RNA of Bubalus bubalis (water buffalo), 878 nucleotides long. RefSeq lists it as uncharacterized. The record is from RefSeq and is a predicted model, not a curated record. The transcript has 3 exons. NCBI's taxonomy places the organism in Eukaryota, Metazoa, Chordata, Mammalia, Artiodactyla, Bovidae.
UUAAGGAUCUUGAGAUAGGGAGAUGAUUCUGGACUGUCCAGGUGGGCCCUAAAUGCAAUCACAUGUGUUCCUUAGGGAAACUAGGCAGAGGGGGAUUUCAUGCCGAUGGAAGAGGAGGAGACCUUGUGGCCACAGAAUCGGACAGUGCAGUGAUGUAACCACAAGUCAAGGAGGGCCAGCAGCCACCAGAAGCAGGAAGAGGCAAGGAGCAGACUCUCCCGUGGAGCCUCUGGAGGCAGGAUGGCCCUGCUGACUGCAUGAUUCCAAAGAUACUGAUUUCGAACUUUUGGCCUCUAGACCUAAUCUUUGGGGAAGGGGGAGUAGACUCCACACACAAAGUCAUGUCCAGUUUCCGAUAAUCCCUUUGGCAGCAAUAGUUGCUCACUCUCUCUCUGUACCAGCCUCUGCUAGGAGCUCUCUGUGAAAGAGUGUUCUACAAAACAAGGACACAUUGUCUCUGCCUCUAUUCUAAAGCUGCUGUUCUGGAGACCAGAAGUCUGAAAUCAAGAUGCUGGCAAGGGGACUACUCUGGUGGCUGUGGUGAAGAAUCCACCUGCCUGCCAAUGCAGGAAACACGGGUUUCGAUCCCAGGUCCAGGGAAGAUCCCACAUGUUGCGGAGCAACUAAGCCCACGUGCCACAACUGUUGAGCUGAUGCUUUAGAACCAGCAACUACAACUGCUGAGCCCACGCACUACAGCGACCGUGGCAUGCAUGCCCUAAAGCCUGUGUUCUGCAACAGGAGAAGCCGCUGCAAUGAGACACCUAUGCACUGCAACUGGAGAGUAGCCCCUGCUAGCUGCAGCUGGAGCAAGCCCACGGGCAGCAACAAAGACCCAGAACAGUAACAAAUAAUAAAUAAAUAAAAUUAAAAAAAAA